RNAcentral lists this ribosomal RNA (253 nucleotides) under uncultured bacterium. RNAcentral describes it as "partial 16S ribosomal RNA". It matches the Rfam family "Bacterial small subunit ribosomal RNA", at positions 524 to 776 of the family's 1533-position model. The record is from RNAcentral.
UACAGAGGGUGCGAGCGUUGAUCGGAAUUACUGGGCGUAAAGCGCACGUAGGUGGCGACGUAAGUCGGGUGUGAAAGCCCCGGGCUCAACCUGGGAAUUGCAUUCGAGACUGCAUUGCUGGAGUACGGAAGAGGAAGGCGGAAUUCCCGGUGUAGCGGUGAAAUGCGUAGAUAUCGGGAGGAACAUCAGUGGCGAAGGCGGCCUUCUGGUCCAGUACUGACACUCAAGUGCGAAAGCGUGGGGAGCAAACAGG